CGGGAUGUUCAUAACCCUUUGUUGUCCGACUCUGUUGCCUCCGGGGCGACCCUGCCUUCGGGCGGGGGCUCCGGGUGGACACUUCAAACUCUUGCGUAACUUUGCAGUCUGAGUAAACUUAAUUAAUAAAUUAAAACUUUUAACAACGGAUCUCUUGGUUCUGGCAUCGAUGAAGAACGCAGCGAAAUGCGAUAAGUAAUGUGAAUUGCAGAAUUCAGUGAAUCAUCGAAUCUUUGAACGCACAUUGCGCCCCCUGGUAUUCCGGGGGGCAUGCCUGUUCGAGCGUCAUUUCACCACUCAAGCCUCGCUUGGUAUUGGGCAACGCGGUCCGCCGCGUGCCUCAAAUCGACCGGCUGGGUCUUCUGUCCCCUAAGCGUUGUGGAAACUAUUCGCUAAAGGGUGUUCGGGAGGCUACGCCGUAAAACAACCCCAUUUCUAAGGUUGACCUCGGAUCAGGUAGGGAUACCCGCUGAACUUAAGCAUAUCAAUA
Molecule: ribosomal RNA, 490 nt
Filed under: Cladosporium pseudocladosporioides
Lineage: Eukaryota; Fungi; Ascomycota; Dothideomycetes; Cladosporiales; Cladosporiaceae
Description: eukaryotic LSU rRNA
Rfam family: 5.8S ribosomal RNA (bases 135-288)
Source: RNAcentral